RNAcentral lists this ribosomal RNA (460 nucleotides) under uncultured bacterium. RNAcentral's name for it is "partial 16S ribosomal RNA". It matches the Rfam family "Bacterial small subunit ribosomal RNA", at positions 339 to 795 of the family's 1533-position model. The record is from RNAcentral.
CUACGGGCCGCAGCAGUAAGGAAUAUUGGGCAAUGGACGCAAGUCUGACCCAGCCAUGCCGCGUGCAGGAUGACAGCCCUACGGGUUGUAAACUGCUUUUAUACGGGAAAAAUUCCCCGGUCGUGAAUCGGGGUUGAUGGUACCGUAAGAAUAAGCAUCGGCUAACUCCGUGCCAGCAGCCGCGGUAAUACGGAGGAUGCAAGCGUUAUCCGGAUUCAUUGGGUUUAAAGGGUGCGUAGGCGGAAUGAUAAGUCAGUGGUGAAAUCCUACAGCUUAACUGUAGAACUGCCAUUGAUACUGUUGUUCUUGAGUACAUUUGAAGUGGGCGGAAUGUGUCAUGUAGCGGUGAAAUGCAUAGAGAUGACACAGAACACCGAUCGCGAAGGCAGCUCACUAAAAUGUAACUGACGCUGAGGCACGAAAGCGUGGGGAUCAAACAGGAUUAGAUACCCGGGUAGUC